AACAGUGGUGAAUCUGAGUUGAUGUUAGACAACACGAUACGGCACUCUCUUUGAAUAUUUUUCAAUUUAAAAAUUCAUUUUCUAUUUUUUCCUUUUGAUUACUAUGAAUAUCGUACAUAGAACGUUUUCAUUUUUAAUUGCAUGUGGCUAUAAAACGAGACUCGCCUGCGUUACGGCAGCAACUGUUGGUGUCGGUGCAGUAGAUUUCUUCCUUUGGAAUGAAUUAAUAAGUGAAUGAAUGAUGGUGCUUCGUGGGUUUUUAUAGUAAGAAGAUGAUUGCUAUCCCUUCUCUAGGUUGACUGACCAAUAGCAGGCAAGUCCACCCCCAUAGUCAAUAGAUGCAGAAGGUUAACAUUUUUCGUAGAUGUAAUGGAAACCAUGUGGCGAAAAAAACUCAUACCUGGGUUGUUUGCAUGUUUUGUUUGCUAGUUUUAUGACUUCCAGGAAUGUGCGAUGAUAUUCUCUCUGCAUCUUAAGUUAUAGGCAAAUUGUUGAUCCAAAAAUUUGUUCCCUUAUCGGUGAGACUCCAGUUAUGGGAAUUCAUCUUGCUUUGAGAGGACCAAGUGGUAUCAUACGUUUAGGUGAUCCAGUUUACGUAGAUGUUCCGUAGGAAGAAAAAACGCCUGUGCACACACCGAUGGGUUUCUUGCGAGGAUGAGAUUAUUUGCAACGAAGAAAAUUUUUUUGUAGGAGACCAUAAUUCGUGACGUGAUCAAAUUAGAAGAAAUCGAAAAAAGUAAUCUUCCUCGUGUUUCCCUUAUAAUUUAACAUUUUAUUUCGGAAGAAAAAGAAGAAGUAGGUUUAAUAAGAAUUUUAUUCGAAGUAAUAUUUCGGUAUAAUGAUUGUUUAUAAGGAUUUACUAUAAUCGGAUUGUACGUAGUAAUAUACGUAUGUAAAAUAAUUGUCUGUUAAUUAGAGUAUAACUCAUUUUGUUGUAAUCUAUUUGAUUACAACAAAAACAGAUCUGACAAAAUCAGAUCUUUCAUCGUUACGAGUAUAAUCGCACGAUUAGCGAGUUAUAUUUUUGUAGAAAUUGUAAUAUAAUAAUAUAACUUGAUUUUGGAUAUGCACAGAGCUUAAUUACAAUUUUUAAUACACAUUCGCAAAAUGCAGUUUUUAGAACGUUCUAAUUUCUAA
RNAcentral lists this long non-coding RNA (1137 nucleotides) under Polistes fuscatus (common paper wasp). RNAcentral describes it as "uncharacterized LOC122521648, transcript variant X1". Lineage: Eukaryota; Metazoa; Arthropoda; Insecta; Hymenoptera; Vespidae. The record is from RNAcentral.